Molecule: ribosomal RNA, 263 nt
Filed under: uncultured bacterium
Lineage: Bacteria
Description: partial 16S ribosomal RNA
Rfam family: Bacterial small subunit ribosomal RNA
Source: RNAcentral
UACAGAGGGUGCGAGCGUUUGUCCGGAAUCACUGGGCGUAAAGGGCGCGUAGGUGGUGGCUUAAGCGUGCGGUGAAAGCUCGGAGCUCAACUCCGAGUCGGCCGUGCGAACUGGGCUCACUGGAGCAUAGUAGAGGCAGGUGGAAUUCCGGGUGUAGAGGUGAAAUUCGUAGAUAUUCGGAAGAACACCAGUGGCGAAGGCGGACUCACUGGACCGGCAUUGACGCUGAGGUGCGAAAGCGUGGGGAGCAACAGGGAUUAAGA